GACGAACGCUGGCGGUGUGCUUAACACAUGCAAGUCGAACGGUAAGGCCCUUUCGGGGGUACACGAGUGGCGAACGGGGGAGUAACACGUGAGUAACCUGCCCUCAUCUCUGGGAUAACAGUCGGAAACGGUUGCUAAUACUGGAGAUGAGCUUGCAAGGCAUCUUGUGGGUUGGAAAGAUUUUUUUGGUUGGGGAUGGACUCGCGGCCUAUCAGCUUGUUGGUGAGGUAGUGGCUCACCAAGGCUUCGACGGGUAGCCGGCCUGAGAGGGCGACCGGCCACAUUGGGACUGAGAUACGGCCCAAACUCCUACGGGAGGCAGCAGUGGGGAAUAUUGCACAAUGGACGGGAGUCUGAUGCAGCAACGCCGCGUGCGGGAUGACGGCCUUCGGGUUGUAAACCGCUUUCAAUUGUGACGAAGCUUUUUGUGACGGUAGCAGUAGAAGAAGCACCGGCUAACUACGUG
RNAcentral lists this ribosomal RNA (466 nucleotides) under uncultured bacterium. RNAcentral's name for it is "partial 16S ribosomal RNA". It matches the Rfam family "Bacterial small subunit ribosomal RNA", at positions 28 to 507 of the family's 1533-position model. The record is from RNAcentral.